GCCGUUUCUUUCGGAGUGCUGAGCUGGAGAAAAUGGUUGACCAGGAUUUAUCACGGUUAUAUCCAGAACAUGGAAGCUACUUCCAGACGCCUGGAUGUCAAGGCUUGCUUAGAAGAAUUUUGUUGUUAUGGUGCCUUCAACAUCCCCAGUUCGGCUAUAGACAAGGAAUGCACGAACUUUUGGCUCCUUUGUUGUAUGUUCUUCAUGUUGAUGU
This 214-nucleotide unclassified non-coding RNA is filed under the name Hevea brasiliensis (rubber tree). The record is from RNAcentral. Lineage: Eukaryota; Viridiplantae; Streptophyta; Magnoliopsida; Malpighiales; Euphorbiaceae.